GAGAAAUUGUCCUGAACAGCAUUCUAUGUUCUAGUCUCCCUGCUAGAAACAGGAUGUCCUUCAUGCCUUAUCCCAGAGUUUCCUGGGACCCUGGUAUAUAAGACCCAGGAUUGCUGUUUUCUAGAGUCCUCCAGGGUCAGUGCAAGGGGGACACAUGCAGAUAAAAUUCCGUCUAACCCAGGCAGCUUUUCUGAGCCUCAGGGAACCAGCUCACAGUGAAUCCCAAGUUUCUGUUACUCCUUGCCGCCCAUCUAUAAACUGACUUCAUGGAUGUUCGGAUGUGUGUGCGGAUGUUCUGACUCAUUGGACUCGGACAAGUUGGACCCUGUUCUGCAGGUCUGCUGGAGUUUGCAGGAGGUCCACUCCAGACCCUGUUUGCCUGGAUAUCACCAGUGGAGGUAGCAUAACAGCAAAGAUUGCUGCCUGCUUCUUCCUCUGGAAGCUUCUUCCCAGAAGGACACCUGCCAGAUGUCAGCUGGAGCUCUCCUGUAUGAGAGAAAAAAACCCAUGUGAGAACACAAAGAGAAGACAGCCAUCCACAAGCCAAGGAAUGAAGCGUCAAAAGAAUCUAUACUUGUCAACAUCAUGAUCUUGGGCCCUCAGCCUCUGAACUAUGAGAAAAUAAAUCUCUGCUGUUUAA
RNAcentral lists this long non-coding RNA (640 nucleotides) under Homo sapiens (human). RNAcentral describes it as "HSALNT0325982". The record is from RNAcentral. Lineage: Eukaryota; Metazoa; Chordata; Mammalia; Primates; Hominidae.